This 86-nucleotide transfer RNA is filed under the name Nitrospira sp. RNAcentral describes it as "tRNA-Tyr". It matches the Rfam family "tRNA". Rfam says of the family: Transfer RNA (tRNA) molecules are approximately 80 nucleotides in length. Their secondary structure includes four short double-helical elements and three loops (D, anti-codon, and T loops). RNAcentral also lists the same sequence under 7 other names. Lineage: Bacteria; Pseudomonadati; Nitrospirota; Nitrospiria; Nitrospirales; Nitrospiraceae. The record is from RNAcentral.
GGGCAGGUACCCAAGUGGACAAAGGGGGCAGACUGUAAAUCUGCUGCCUUAUGGCUUCCAAGGUUCGAACCCUUGCCUGCCCACCA